AUUGAACGCUGGCGGCAGGCCUAACACAUGCAAGUCGAGCGGAUGAAGGGAGCUUGCUCCUGGAUUCAGCGGCGGACGGGUGAGUAAUGCCUAGGAAUCUGCCUGGUAGUGGGGGAUAACGUCCGGAAACGGGCGCUAAUACCGCAUACGUCCUGAGGGAGAAAGUGGGGGAUCUUCGGACCUCACGCUAUCAGAUGAGCCUAGGUCGGAUUAGCUAGUUGGUGGGGUAAAGGCCUACCAAGGCGACGAUCGGUAACUGGUCUGAGAGGAUGAUCAGUCACAUGGGAACUUAGACACGGUCAAGACUCCUAAGGGAGGCAGCAGUGGGGAAUAUUGGACAAUGGGCGAAAGCCUGAUCCAGCCAUGCCGCGUGUGUGAAGAAGGUCUUCGGAUUGUAAAGCACUUUAAGUUGGGAGGAAGGGCAGUAAGUUAAUACCUUGCUGUUUUGACGUUACCAACAGAAUAAGCACCGGCUAACUUCGUG
Molecule: ribosomal RNA, 484 nt
Filed under: uncultured bacterium
Lineage: Bacteria
Description: partial 16S ribosomal RNA
Rfam family: Bacterial small subunit ribosomal RNA
Source: RNAcentral